CGCGAAAACUUUACAAUGCGGGAAACCGUGAUAAGGGGACACCGAGUGCCAGCAUCAUAUGCUGGCUGUCCGGGUGUGUAAAAUACACCUGUUAGCAAGGGCCGGGCAAGACCGGUGCCAGCCGCCGCGGUAACACCGGCGGCCCGAGUGGUGAUCGUGAUUAUUGGGUCUAAAGGGUCCGUAGCCGGUUUGGUCAGUCCUCCGGGAAAUCUGAUAGCUUAACUAUUAGGCUUUCGGGGGAUACUGCCAGACUUGGAACCGGGAGAGGUAAGAGGUACUACAGGGGUAGGAGUGAAAUCUUGUAAUCCCUGUGGGACCACCUGUGGCGAAGGCGUCUUACCAGAACGGGUUCGACGGUGAGGGACGAAAGCUGGGGGCACGAACCGGAUUAGAUACCCGGGUAGUCCCAGCCGUAAACGAUGCUCGCUAGGUGUCAGGCAUGGCGCGACCGUGUCUGGUGCCGCAGGGAAGCC
Molecule: ribosomal RNA, 473 nt
Filed under: uncultured Methanosarcina sp.
Lineage: Archaea; Methanobacteriati; Methanobacteriota; Methanomicrobia; Methanosarcinales; Methanosarcinaceae
Description: bacterial SSU rRNA
Rfam family: Archaeal small subunit ribosomal RNA
Source: RNAcentral